GGCGGGGAGCCGAGGGGCGGGGGCGCACCUGUUUGGCCAAUCGACCCCACUAUUACCACCCCACCCGGCCGGACUGGGCAGGGCCGAACCUCUCAGCUCCCGGCACACGCCCCCUGUCCCCGCUUUGGCCCGGGAUCUAGGCCCGGCCACAUGCCUCCUCCCCUUCCCGGGCCCAGCGGUCUCAGCCGGCCCGCGGAGGCCCUCUGUGCGGCUGGACUGCGCGCCUUCCCUGGCCUCCAGGAUUUCAGAGAGAAAUCCCUGCUUUAGCCCGGGGGCUCUGGGGUAUGGGACCGGGGAGUGGACCACGACUCUGCUUCGCUCACCCCUCUCCCACUCUACACCUGCUCUCCCGCAAGGAUCUUCGUGCGUCCGCUGACCCUUUAAACUUUGCUGUGCGCCGCGCCUGGAUCUCUGGCCGCGCGGGACGUGGGCCGAUGCCAGGUCCAGAGCGUUGGGAGAGGCCGGCGGGGUGGGGAGGACGGCAGAGAGAAGGCACCUCCAGCCCUUCCCACCAACACAGGCUCUCGAGGACUCAUCUGGGUUCUGCCAGACUUCUCCAGCACGCUUGUGAUCCACUGCCGCGGCUUCCCUAACUUAUCUUGGGAUCAAAAUAUUAAAGCUUGACGAUUUUAUUGUCCCAUUUUCCAGAUAGGAAGACUGAGGUCAAAGAGGCGACCGCUUCUGGGACGCGGCAGCGAGACGGUGACUUUUUCAAACUAAAGAAGCUGAGCUUGCACUGGCGGCCAAGGACAUUGGGGAACAGAGACCUCUGAAGCCCAGACACAGGAACAGGAGGCUGAGCAGACCUGGCCUGGCUGGAAACAUUAGAAGGGACCGAGGCAGCGAGAUGUCUAAAAUAGGAAGACGACGGGGACGAUUGGCCUGGCUGGCCGCGACGCUGGCUGUGGGGAUCUGGCCGGCUGUGCAGACGGAAAAGCUAAGAGGCUGGCAAGAGAAAGCAAGAAAUGAGAGAAAAGUACCAGAGGAUAAGUGGGGGAAACCGAAAACAAUAAAAUGGGAGAGCUACAGCCAAAUAUACGGCAAUUAUAUUAAAUGUGAGCAGAUUAAAUACUCUAAUUGAAAGACAAACAUUAACACAUUGGAUAAAAAAAUGAAUAAGCCCAAUCAUAUGCUGCUUACAAGAGAGACAUGUCCCAUGUAAGGAUACAGAACUGAAGAGAGUAGAAGAAUGGAAAAAGUUA
This is a non-coding RNA of Equus caballus (horse), 1202 nucleotides long. The record is from RefSeq and is a predicted model, not a curated record. NCBI's taxonomy places the organism in Eukaryota, Metazoa, Chordata, Mammalia, Perissodactyla, Equidae.